This is a long non-coding RNA of Dinoponera quadriceps, 295 nucleotides long. RefSeq lists it as uncharacterized. NCBI's taxonomy places the organism in Eukaryota, Metazoa, Arthropoda, Insecta, Hymenoptera, Formicidae. The record is from RefSeq and is a predicted model, not a curated record. The transcript has 2 exons.
ACUAAAAACUGAAAAAAAAGAAAAUGAGGGAAAGAAAAAAAGAAAGAGGGCGUAGUAUGCAGAAAACAAAAAUUCGACAAUGAUGGAAGGUGUAAAUAGGAUGGAUAUCUGUAAAGAAAGGAAGAGGAAAAAUAGAUCAAAACCUGAAUCGAGCUAAGAACUUAUGUUACAAGAGGGAAUUUUAAUUUUAGAAUAAAAAUUUACACAUUAGUAUACCCAACUGGUUUUCGGAACCUAAAUAUUUUGUUUGGCCAUUUUGUCCCAGUUUAACCAUAAGAUUAAAUAUGACUUAUUA